Manis pentadactyla (Chinese pangolin) is the source of this 2253-nucleotide long non-coding RNA. RefSeq lists it as uncharacterized. NCBI's taxonomy places the organism in Eukaryota, Metazoa, Chordata, Mammalia, Pholidota, Manidae. The record is from RefSeq and is a predicted model, not a curated record. The transcript has 2 exons.
GAGAAAUGCAGGUGGCCCAGACCAGGGCUUCCAGCCGCAGGAGAAGGGUAAGGUCUCAGGGGGGUAACCCCUGUGGGGACUGGUCCCCAUGGGCACAUGCUGGGCCACAGGCAGCAGACAUUUGGCCUGGGUGCUCCAUGGCCAACGUCGGAUCCCCCUAACCUCGGGUUCCUCUUCUGUCACGUAGGGUAAGAGAGCUCAUGCAUCCGGAGCCAAAGCAGCUGUGCUCUGUGCAGGGGCCUGGGGGCCCCUGGCUGCUUCUAUCCCCACUUUCCUUCUGGGCCUCCAUUCUGGAAGUUACUCUGUGAGCACAGGUCACUCUCAUCACCACCCCCUUCUUCAGCAUCCCAGAGCUGACCCGCACUGCCUUCCAGACCACUCUGUGGUCUAAAAGCCAUUGGGGCACUGCCCGGGAUUAAAAGGAGGCCUGGAGGUAGACAGGCCUGGGUCUGAGUCUGGUUCUAGUGGUUCCUGCUGUGUGACCCCAGGCAAGAUACACCACCUCUCUGACUCUCAGUUUGCUCCUUUGGCAAACAUGUUGGCCUCACAGCAUGUGGAGUUUGCUAUAAAGUGCUUGCCAGACACCUGAGACAGAGUGGGUGCUUGGGAAAUGAGAGCUGCUCUUACAAGUGCUCGUCUGAGGCUGACAAGCACUGAACCGCACACAGUCCUCUCUGCUGGCUCUGCAGGCCACCAUCCCUCGGCUCCCUGGUCCUCUCCUGGCCAAGGAUGGCUCCCCUAGGGCUCCAUGUCCACCACUCCUGGACUUCCCCUGAGGACUCCUCUUGCCUUCUGAUUCUGGGACUUACUUUGGGCCUUACUUCCCCAGGGAGAACUGGAUUCCUGACCUGAGGUGUCUCCGCUCCCCCAGGAGAUAAACAACGACCACUAGCAGGAGCACUGGGCAUUCUCCAUGCCUACCCAGGGCUCUAGGGAGACUAACUCUGGGAGUGCGUCUUCAGAAAGACCGGGAGGAACCCACGUGUGCCAGGUGUAUGGAGACCUCUCUGUGGUGCAAAUGGAAUCGCCAGCAGGGGAAGUGUGAGGCCCCGGAGAAGGGUGGCGGCACCACAGACUAAUACCUCCAGGUGCUGAAGAAAAGUGGGGCUGAACCGAAUGACAUGGAGAGCGGUUCUCCCAGAUAUGUCAUGGGAAUAAAGAAGUGGUACGUAUAGUGUGAAACCAUUUUUAGAAAACAAAAUGCACAAACAGCUUAGCUUGGUAUAUUGAAGUUUACCAAACUCUGAGCCUCAAAGGUAUAUGUGUGGGAGAUUCACUUUCUAAAAAUAUUCCUCCCCACAGCUCUGGUGGUCCCAAACAACCUGCCUCUGCCCUCAUCUCCUUGCACACAGGCCUCCCAUUGUUCCUUAAACACACUGGACAUAUUCCUGCCUCAGCGCCUUUGCACUGGCUGCUCUGUCUGCCUCAGAGUGCCCUGCCCAGCUGUCCCCAUGAACGGCAGCUUCUCAUCCUGGUUCAGUUCAAAUGUCACCUCCUCAGAGGGGCCUCUCACCCUUCUGGUGCUCCCUCAGCCCAGGAGUGAUUGAUCACGCAAUCCCGUGCUACUUCUUCACUGCAUUCACCUCAUGAUGGUUUGUUGUGUGUUCUCGCUUAUCUGUGAUCCCACUCCCUCUACCUCACCUGCAGCCUUGUGCAUUCCACAUCCAGUGUCAGGAUCAAGGCCUGCUGUAUUGUCGGCACUCAAAAGCAGUUGUUUAAUGUGUACCACACAGAGCCAACCUUCCUUCUUUCCAGCCCACCUCUCUAUCAUCCUCCUUCCAACCUUCUUUAUUCUCUACCUUCCUUUUACAAGUUUACAUGGCUUUCAGAAAACAGAACAAAGUAUAGAGAUACUUAAAAAGGGUAAGUCAAAGGAACUCAAGUAUUCCUUCCCUGCUCUGUUUGUGUUCAUUUGCUAAAAUCACCCUCCCAGCUCCGGGCACUCUAGGGGGGCAUUGCUAAUUCCACAGUGGAAGGCAGGCUUACCAGGAGAAAUAAUGCUAGAACCUUCUCCCCGACUCUUAACUCUGCAUCUAUCUCACCUACUGCAGGUCGCAUGGACUGACACUCAUGGGCUGCUGUGACAUGUCUAAAGGGAAAGUACAAUGAAGUUCAGUUUGGAGAGUCAAAUCAACCAUUUUUGCUCUUAUUUUCUUCUGGAAGAAUUUUCCAAUGUAUUUUCUAAAUCGCAUAUUCUAAGCAGUAAUUUAAAACGGCAUUAAUUCCACCUUAAAAAAACCAAACUGAACUGGU